RNAcentral lists this transfer RNA (76 nucleotides) under Pseudomonas aeruginosa. RNAcentral's name for it is "tRNA-His". It matches the Rfam family "tRNA". From Rfam's summary of the family: Transfer RNA (tRNA) molecules are approximately 80 nucleotides in length. The record is from RNAcentral. Lineage: Bacteria; Pseudomonadati; Pseudomonadota; Gammaproteobacteria; Pseudomonadales; Pseudomonadaceae.
GUGGGCGUAGCUCAGUUGGUAGAGCACAGGAUUGUGGCUCCUGGUGUCGUGGGUUCGAUUCUCAUCGUCCACCCCA